Molecule: transfer RNA, 64 nt
Filed under: Escherichia coli
Lineage: Bacteria; Pseudomonadati; Pseudomonadota; Gammaproteobacteria; Enterobacterales; Enterobacteriaceae
Description: tRNA-Met
Rfam family: tRNA
About the family: Transfer RNA (tRNA) molecules are approximately 80 nucleotides in length. Their secondary structure includes four short double-helical elements and three loops (D, anti-codon, and T loops). Further hydrogen bonds mediate the characteristic L-shaped molecular structure. tRNAs have two regions of fundamental functional importance: the anti-codon, which is responsible for specific mRNA codon recognition, and the 3' end, to which the tRNAs corresponding amino acid is attached (by aminoacyl-tRNA synthetases). tRNAs cope with the degeneracy of the genetic code in two manners: having more than one tRNA (with a specific anti-codon) for a particular amino acid; and 'wobble' base-pairing, i.e. permitting non-standard base-pairing at the 3rd anti-codon position.
Source: RNAcentral
CUUUAGCUCAGUGGUGAGAGCGAGCGACUCAUAAUCGCCAGGUCGCUGGUUCAAAUCCAGCAAG